Molecule: ribosomal RNA, 251 nt
Filed under: uncultured bacterium
Lineage: Bacteria
Description: partial 16S ribosomal RNA
Rfam family: Bacterial small subunit ribosomal RNA
Source: RNAcentral
CCACCUCGCGAGAGGGAGCGGAUCCCCCAAACUCCGGCCCCAGUUCGGAUUGUAGGCUGAAACCCGCCUGCAUGAAGUCGGAGUUGCUAGUAAUCGCGGAUCAGCAUGCCGCGGUGAAUGCGUUCCCGGGCCUUGUACACACCGCCCGUCACACCACCCGAGUCGUCUGCACCCGAAGCCGCCGGCCCAACCUUGCGAGGGAGGCGUCGAAGGUGUGGAGGGUGAGGGGGGUGAAGUCGUAACAAGGUAGC